GGAAGCCCUUCCCACCUGGCUGUGUCACUGGUCUGGGAACACAUUUUGAGAAUCACUGGUAGGUACAUCGGUCAUUGGGUGCAUUUUUUGUUUGUUUCUUGGAGCUGAGUGUAUCCUGAUGGCGGCAGUAGUGGGCUGGUAAAUGUUUAACAAUUGGCUCUCUAAUUAAAAAAAAAAAGCCGUGAUUUGUGUUUGCAGGUUACACGGUGUAAAUACUUACCCACCCCUUGGCCAGUUGCAAGCUACCAACAUGGUGCCACUGAAAGUGGAGUUGAGAUGAGUGUAGGUGGCUCUCCUGAGCCUGUGUGAGCUGACACUGGGACAACACUGAGGCUGGCCAAAGACAGCUGAGAAGUCCAAGUAAGGAAUUGUUAAAAAGCUUUCAGCAGAGUGGCUUUAUUAGAUUUGGGUUUUAGGUGGAUCUGUGUUUCCUGGCUCACUUUAACAGAGUCUAAUAGAGUUGGAGAUCCCCAUAGAAGACUGUAGCAAUAUUUCCAGCUAUGAGGCUGAGGAGUGUUGCCAGAGGAGAGAAACAAAUGUGAAAACUAGUAUAUUAGUCUGCUUGGGCUGGCCUAACAAAAUACCACAGAUCAGGGAAACUUAAAGGACAGAAACCUAUUUUCUCACAGUU
This 631-nucleotide long non-coding RNA is filed under the name Homo sapiens (human). RNAcentral's name for it is "non-protein coding lnc-TBC1D4-3:2". The record is from RNAcentral. Lineage: Eukaryota; Metazoa; Chordata; Mammalia; Primates; Hominidae.